GGUGGCUCAAUGGUAGAGUGCGUGCCUCAUGUGCAUGAGGCCCUGGGUUUGAUUCCUCAGCACCA
Molecule: transfer RNA, 65 nt
Filed under: Dipodomys ordii (Ord's kangaroo rat)
Lineage: Eukaryota; Metazoa; Chordata; Mammalia; Rodentia; Heteromyidae
Rfam family: tRNA
About the family: Transfer RNA (tRNA) molecules are approximately 80 nucleotides in length.
Source: Rfam by way of RNAcentral